GCCACCUUGCUUCCUGUCCAGUGUGCUCGGGUCACUGCCUGUUCUAGGGGCUUUGUGUUAUUUGCUGGUAACGCGCCUGUUUGAUUCCAGGUCCUGCUGGUCGGGGCCGACGACUUCACGCUGCUCGGCAGACCCCUCCUCGGAAAGGAUCUUGUUCAAGUAGAAGCUACAGUCAUUGAAAAGACAGAAUCGUGGCCAAAAAUCAAUAUGAGAUUCAAGAAAAGGAAAAACUACAAAAGGAAAAGAAGUAAGUUGGAGAAAGCGUGGCUGCUGCGUUCCCGUCCUCUGGGUGUCGCCCCACGUCCUGCGCUGGGCCAGUUAUCGUGAGUCCUCAGACCGUCCUCCGGAUAAACACCAUCAAGAUUGCUCCAUGUCUGUGCUGAUCGUCCAGCUAAUGUUUCUAGAAAUAGAAAAAUAUAUCCAUUUUCCGAGGA
Molecule: long non-coding RNA, 434 nt
Organism: Physeter macrocephalus (sperm whale)
Lineage: Eukaryota; Metazoa; Chordata; Mammalia; Artiodactyla; Physeteridae
Exons: 3
Source: RefSeq, a predicted model, not a curated record